CGGAGGGUGCAAGCGUUAUCCGGAUUCACUGGGUUUAAAGGGAGCGCAGGCGGACUGGUAAGUCAGUGGUGAAAUACCUGAGCUUAACUCGGGAACUGCCAUUGAUACUAUCAGUCUUGAAUGUUGUUGAGGUUUGCGGAAUGGGUCAUGUAGCGGUGAAAUGCAUAGAUAUGACCCGGAACACCUAUUGCGAAGGCAGCAGGCUAAACAAAUAUUGACGCUGAGGCUCGAAAGCGUGGGGAUCAAACAGGAUUAGAUACCCUGGUAGUCCACGCCCUAAACGAUGACUACUCGACAUACGCGAUACACUGUGUGUGUCUGAGCGAAAGCAUUAAGUAAUCCACCUGGGAAGUACGACCGCAAGGUUG
Molecule: ribosomal RNA, 368 nt
Filed under: uncultured organism
Description: bacterial SSU rRNA
Rfam family: Bacterial small subunit ribosomal RNA
Source: RNAcentral